AGUGAACGCUGGCGGUAGGCCUAACACAUGCAAGUCGAACGGCAGCACAGAGGAGCUUGCUCCUUGGGUGGCGAGUGGCGGACGGGUGAGGAAUACAUCGGAAUCUACUCUGUCGUGGGGGAUAACGUAGGGAAACUCACGCUAAUACCGCAUAAGACCUACGGGUGAAAGCAGGGGAUCUUCGGACCUUGCGCGAUUGCAUGAGCCGAUGUCGGAUUAGCUAGUUGGCGGGGUAAAGGCCCACCAAGGCGACGAUCCGUAGCUGGUCUGAGAGGAUGAUCAGCCACACUGGAACUGAGACACGGUCCAGACUCCUACGGGAGGCAGCAGUGGGGAAUAUUGGACAAUGGGCGCAAGCCUGAUCCAGCCAUACCGCGUGGGUGAAGAAGGCCUUCGGGUUGUAAAGCCCUUUUGUUGGGAAAGAAAUCCAUCUGGUUAAUACCCGGGUGGGAUGACGGUACCCAAAGAAUAAGCACCGGCUAACUUCGUGCCAGCCGCCGCAGUAA
RNAcentral lists this ribosomal RNA (506 nucleotides) under uncultured bacterium. RNAcentral describes it as "partial 16S ribosomal RNA". It matches the Rfam family "Bacterial small subunit ribosomal RNA", at positions 29 to 523 of the family's 1533-position model. The record is from RNAcentral.